Molecule: transfer RNA, 73 nt
Filed under: Stegodyphus mimosarum
Lineage: Eukaryota; Metazoa; Arthropoda; Arachnida; Araneae; Eresidae
Rfam family: tRNA
About the family: Transfer RNA (tRNA) molecules are approximately 80 nucleotides in length. Their secondary structure includes four short double-helical elements and three loops (D, anti-codon, and T loops). Further hydrogen bonds mediate the characteristic L-shaped molecular structure. tRNAs have two regions of fundamental functional importance: the anti-codon, which is responsible for specific mRNA codon recognition, and the 3' end, to which the tRNAs corresponding amino acid is attached (by aminoacyl-tRNA synthetases). tRNAs cope with the degeneracy of the genetic code in two manners: having more than one tRNA (with a specific anti-codon) for a particular amino acid; and 'wobble' base-pairing, i.e. permitting non-standard base-pairing at the 3rd anti-codon position.
Source: Rfam by way of RNAcentral
GCCUUUGUGGUGUAGUGGUCAGCACACUCGGCACGUAUUCGAGAAGACCGUGGUUCGAGUCCCGGUGAGGGCA